Molecule: unclassified non-coding RNA, 244 nt
Filed under: uncultured Inocybe
Lineage: Eukaryota; Fungi; Basidiomycota; Agaricomycetes; Agaricales; Cortinariaceae
Description: sequence contains ITS1
Source: RNAcentral
UUGAAUAAACCUGCAGGCUGUUUUGCUGGCCCUCUGGGGCAUGUGCACGCUUGUUAUCUUUAUUUCUUCCACUGUGCACUUAUUGUAGACCUGUUGUGAGGGAUUGUUCAAGUGAAAUUGAACAGAUUGAGGACUUGCUGUGGCUUCAGCUUUGCCUUGUAUUAUUCAGGUCUAUGUUAUUUUAUCAACUCCAAUGUUUAAGAAUGUUGAAAUUGGGUCUUUUGUACCUAUAAAGUUAAAUAUA